This is a non-coding RNA of Crocodylus porosus (Australian saltwater crocodile), 129 nucleotides long. The record is from Ensembl. NCBI's taxonomy places the organism in Eukaryota, Metazoa, Chordata, Crocodylia, Crocodylidae.
GUGGAGGGAUAAGAAAGUGGAGCCUGUGAAGUUAAAUAGCUCUACUGGUACUAUCCUCCUAGAUUGAUUUGGUAGAAAAACAGGACCUGGCUAUGCAAUGGAGUCAGGGCUACUUGUCUACCAACAACC